This is a long non-coding RNA of Suncus etruscus (white-toothed pygmy shrew), 171 nucleotides long. RefSeq lists it as uncharacterized. The transcript is spliced from 3 exons. Lineage: Eukaryota; Metazoa; Chordata; Mammalia; Eulipotyphla; Soricidae. The record is from RefSeq and is a predicted model, not a curated record.
GUGAUUUUCUUCUCCCUUGAGAACAGGAGUGUUCCUCAGAAAAGCUUUUAGGAGAGCUGUUCCAUUUUAAUUUUCCAGUUGAUGCUAGCUCUUUCUUCCCGAAGGACUGCUCCGUUGGUGUAAAACUGCACAGAGCCAAACAGGAAGACAGCGCCAAGAAAGAAAGUUUCG